RNAcentral lists this non-coding RNA (23 nucleotides) under Arabidopsis thaliana (thale cress). The record is from RNAcentral. Lineage: Eukaryota; Viridiplantae; Streptophyta; Magnoliopsida; Brassicales; Brassicaceae.
ACCGCGCCUAGGCAUCCCGUCCU